RNAcentral lists this ribosomal RNA (376 nucleotides) under uncultured Pseudomonas sp. Its description in RNAcentral is "bacterial SSU rRNA". It matches the Rfam family "Bacterial small subunit ribosomal RNA", at positions 1007 to 1382 of the family's 1533-position model. Lineage: Bacteria; Pseudomonadati; Pseudomonadota; Gammaproteobacteria; Pseudomonadales; Pseudomonadaceae. The record is from RNAcentral.
UGGAUUGGUGCCUUCGGGAACUCUGACACAGGUGCUGCAUGGCUCGUCGUCAGCUCGUGUCGUGAGAUGUUGGGUUAAGUCCCGUAACGAGCGCAACCUUGUCCUUAGUUACCAGCACGUUAUGGUGGGCACUCUAAGGAGACUGCCGGUGACAAACCGGAGGAAGGUGGGGAUGACGUCAAGUCAUCAUGGCCCUUACGGCCUGGGCUACACACGUGCUACAAUGGUCGGUACAAAGGGUUGCCAAGCCGCGAGGUGGAGCUAAUCCCAUAAAACCGAUCGUAGUCCGGAUCGCAGUCUGCAACUCGACUGCGUGAAGUCGGAAUCGCUAGUAAUCGUGAAUCAGAAUGUCACGGUGAAUACGUUCCCGGGCCUU